This is a non-coding RNA of Microcebus murinus (gray mouse lemur), 1664 nucleotides long. NCBI's taxonomy places the organism in Eukaryota, Metazoa, Chordata, Mammalia, Primates, Cheirogaleidae. The record is from RefSeq and is a predicted model, not a curated record.
UAUCUACAACUAUUAAUGUAAGGCAUUUUAUAGGUCAAGGAGUGUUACAGUUGUAUUAUUAAUAUUUGGCUAAUGGUAUAAGGAAGACCUUGUUUUUCGAGAAUAGGCUGAAAUGAAGGGCAGUCAUGACAAGGGAAUCUAACAAUUGCACAUCUUUCUGACUCUAAGCCCCUCUUCAAGUUAUCAACCUACAGAAGUCCUUAAUACUUGUCCCCCUACCUCCCCUUACACUUACUGACAGUGCUUGCUUCAGGAUCUCUGUCUUAUCAGUCCUCAGUUUAAAGCUAAUCCCUAACUACUUCAGGCAAUGAGAAUCACUGUUGUAAAGACAGCCCUAACCAUCAGAAGGGCAAGAAUGCUUGGGACCAUUGGUCAAGCAACACAUUUGCUAUCUUGACUGUAUUUAACUCUCACCACUAUUUCCAUUUUGGGAAACAAACAGUUGGCUCUUUUAAAAAACUAAUGACUCAUGGGGUUUCCCAUAAUACAACUGGGUCAAUAGGUCACAAUGUCUUAGAAUUCUAGGACCUGGCACAACAGAGCUGGAAGGGCCAUCCCACAUAAUUUAGUCUGGUCUGCCUAUCAGACAACAUGGAGAUACUGAGGGCUUGACUGGGCAAAGCCCAGGCCCUAGGUGUAAACCUCCUUUUUUUCUCAACUUAGUUGAAGCUGUGAAAAGAUAGAAUAGAAUAGAAAGUGAAAGACUAGAGUGUGUCAUCGUUUAUUCGCUUCAGAGACUCACUUCUGGGACUGCUCUAACUCGUAGACUGCAACGAAUUCACAGCCAAAGGCUAGCAAACCAGAUUGAUCCAGACUACGUUACUGGACCGGUUUUACAAAAUUCCUAUGGAAUGAGGCAGUUUAAACAGAUUGUGAAGACAGUGGUUCAGCUACAAAUUCAAAAGAAGAGUAAUUCGCAUUUUCUGAAGACCUACUACGAAUCAGGAAUCUGCUGAAGCCUUUUCUCACUAGUAAGCGGAGGUGACAGGGGAGUGUUCACAUUUGAAGAGGUAUCAUAGCAUAAUGAGAAAAGCCUGGGCUUUAAAGUCAGAAGUGUGAAUCCUUGCUUUGCUAUUUACUUGCUGAGCAACUUGGGGUGAGUGUUUAACUUCUCUGGGCUUCAGUGAGGAUUCAGUAAGAUAACAGAUAUAAAGAGCUGGGCACAGUGCUGCCUGGCACAUAUGUGGCAUUCAGUUCCCAUGCCUUUUUCUGCUACCACCCUGACUCCAAAGUUAAUUGACACUAUGCACCUCCUUGGCCUUGAAACCCCACUCAGUACAGCAUAACGAUGGGUCUACUAGACAGAAUGCUGGAGCAAGAGUCAGAAGAUGUGGGUUCCAUUGCUAGACAUAUCCCUUGUUAUAGUACCUUGGAUAAGUUACUCCCCUCUCCUGACCCUGUCAAUAAAACAGAACACCCCCUAGCUCUGAUGCUGAAAGAGAAGAGCAGAGAAAAUCACUUUUCUUGGGCACCUGCCAUGAGACAUGUACCAUGCUAGGCCCUUUUACAUACAUUAUGUCCUUUAAAUCAGUACUGGCCAGUAGAAAUUUCUGAGAUGAUGGAACUGCUCUGUAUCUGUGCUAAGAUGGUAGCCACUAACCAUAAGUAGCUAUUAGGCCCUCAAAAUGGGGCUAGUUCAACUUGAAUUUUUAAUUUAAUUUAAA